RNAcentral lists this unclassified non-coding RNA (263 nucleotides) under fungal sp. RNAcentral describes it as "partial internal transcribed spacer region". The stretch from base 1 to 46 matches the Rfam family "Eukaryotic small subunit ribosomal RNA", at positions 1786 to 1831 of the family's 1831-position model. Lineage: Eukaryota; Fungi. The record is from RNAcentral.
AAGUCGUAACAAGGUUUCCGUAGGUGAACCUGCGGAAGGAUCAUUAGCGAGAGCCUGCCGCAGACUCGUGCGAGUCUGCGCACGCGCGCCAUCCUUGUGUUGUGUGUGACGUGUUGUGUGCGCAAUGCCACUGUUGCCAAGGUGGCGGUGGCGUCUGCGCAUGCGCAUUUUUUUCACUCCAUUUCAUCGCAUUUAUUCUAAUUACUGCUGCUCGCAUGAGCACAAACAACCGAAAACUGCCAGCAAUGGAUCACUCGGUUCUC